AGGGCACCCAGAACAGUCCAGGUGAUUGUCUUCUGCCCAGGUCACACUCGGGUCCUCGCAGGUGGUGAUCACUGGCCCUGUUUGGGGUGGUUGGAACUCAGCACUUGGUGAAGGUGGUUUUCUGUCUUCUAGAUCUCCAAGUUCCUGUUCUGGUGGCCGCACGUCACCACGAGAUUCUGCCUCCCCGAUUUUCAAGGGUCUCUGGCUAAAAUGUCAGUGUCUUUGGGAACAGUCACCCUUUCGAGUCUCCAGGGGAAUCUGGAGCAGCUGAGGGUCUGAAUCCAGCCUGAGCUAGGGACCAGGGUGCAGAUGGGGCACUGUGGGAACUCUGGUGCCUAAGUCUGCGUGACACCUGAGCCUGGCCGCCUGGCCUGGGUGAGGUCUGGCGUCGGCCUUGGCGGUGGCCCUGGCUAGCUGUGAUUCAGCUCCAAGGAACCUGCUUCCUCGUCUGCAGCGUGGAAAGAUAGCAGCGUCUACACAGUAGAAUACCUUUGAGAGGUCACAGAGAAUUCGGGCAGCAUUCCUGGUGCCCGUCCUGCUGAGAACGCCCGUCAGUCAUCUAGAGCUCAAGUUUAACACAGAAGGCAGCGGCCAGCGGAUGGAGGGGGCAGGAGGGGCCCCACAAGGAGAGCUUGGCAGUGACCUCUGUCCCUCCAGAGCCCCUCUCCUGCCGCCUUCCUACAGAGGCCAGAAACCUCUAUCCCAUCUGCAGGGCCUGGGCAUGGGGGAGAGUAUCGUGGGAGACCCACAUGCCUCUGUGGGCACCAGGACAGAACGUGGCCCGCUCCACUGACUGGGCAAAAGGUAGGCCAGGUGCCAUGGGGCACUGUGCUGAGGCUGGCGGGCAUUCCUGUCACUGUUUGCCUGAGGUGGGGGCCCAGGCAGAGGCUGGAGGCCCCAACCCCAACUGCAGAUGGGGAGAAGUCAGAGAAAAUAUGCUACCUGUCCACCUGCACCUCCCCCGCGGGUCAUCCCUCCCUGGCUGUGGGGACAGGAAUGAGUCACAGGAUGGGCCCUUGGGCCAACUCACUUCCUGUCCCCCGGCCACAGCCCGUCUGGGGGCUGCAGAGCUCCCGAGUCCUUCCAGACUCGCUCUGUCCUGUGGGGGUGGGUGGGAGAAGAACUGGAGAAUGGCAGGGACCCUGGGGGGUGGGGCUUGCAAGAUAGGGAAAGAGCAUGAGGGACCCAGAGCCCCAGGAGGAGGACAGGUGUGAGUCAGCUCCUGGAGGAGGGGGCACGUAGGCGGGGCCGGGUAUAAGCUGGGCAGCCCUUUGUCACCGUCAUCAUCAUCAAGACACACACGACGAGGUACCAAGCGGGGUGACUUGUGCUUUCUGCUUGGGAACAGCCAUGGCCCUCACUGCAGCCACUGCUAUCACCAGCGCUCACCCCGGAAAUUGGAGGCCAUGAGGGCCAGACUGCCACAAGCCACAGACUCCAAAGUCACAGCCAGCGAGCCCCCAGGGGCUCUUCCCGCGCCCUGGCCUGUCCUUGGUGUGGCCGCUAGCUGGUCCAGCUCAGCCCCUGGCCUCUCUUCCACCUUGGUGCACAAAGCCCUGGGGUGGUAAAGCAGGAGGCCAGCAGGGGCCAGAGGAAGAGGGGUGUGGCUGGCAGAGGAGGGAGCCUGGCCCGUCCGGGGCUGAGUGCCUGCUGGAGCUGUCCGGCUGGUGUUCCGGGUGACUCUGUUGUCCUCUGGGGGCCUGGGCUCCCUCAUCUGUAGCCCCCCCACCCUCCCUGCGCUACCCCCCCCCCACCGUGAGUGAUGCUACUCAGGCUGAGGAGACCCCAGGUCUGGCCCACUGUCCUUGAUGCACUCAGGCCUUCACCUGCACCCCCCCUUGGUGGCCAGCGGGCUUUGCAGGAAUGGCCUCCUUCCCGAGGGAGGGACGAGAGCCUGGCUAACCAGGCAGGGCUAUUUUAAAGGAAGUCACGGCCAACCGGAGAGCAAAGUCUCCAUCUGAGUUUAUGACAGGAUGACAGGAGGGCGGUCAGCCAUCGUCUGCUGGGCUAGAAACUUCAGGACCCUUCCAGAUCUUUCCAUAACCGCAGCUGGGGCUUCCUGAGCCUCCCUUGGUCUCGGGGUCCUACCUCAACCAAGUUCUCCAGCCGUCCAACAGCCUGGGGGCAGGGUGGGUGUUCUGCAGUGGAGGGGACAGAGGCCACUCGCCUGGGCCAGCUGGGGGGUGGGCUGUGCCUCGGCCACUCAGUUUACAAAACCUGGUGGAGUUUAGCCCACCUUUGGGUCCAGCCUGCUGGCCAUCCCUGCCACUGCCCAGGCCCAUGGCCACACCAGGGAGACCCUGCCACUGCCAGCACGCAGCCCCACGGGUUUGCUCCCGGGUGAGAGCCAAGCACAGCGCUGCUUUCAGGGUCAGUGCAGGCUUCAUAAGCUCCUGAGGCCACUCUCAGUACUGGUGAAGUCAGGGCUGUGCAUGUGACAUGUCUGGGCACAGGGACCCUACUGAGAUCUUAGGCAUGGCAGGCCAUUGGAACUGGAAUCCAUACCUUUCUUCUAUGUGACUUUGGGCAAGUCUCUCAACCUCUCUGUGCCUUAGAAUCUUUGUGUAAAUGGUAUAGACCUGCACGGGACCCUGCGAUAGUUUGGAUCUUGAAUGUCCCCCACAGGCCAUGAGUUGAAAGCUUACUCUCCAGUCCAUAGUGCUUUUGGGAGGUGGCAGAACCUUUAGAAGGUAGGCCUCGUGGAAGGAGUUAGAUCACUGGAGUGUGCCCUUGGAGUGGGUAUUGGAAUGCUUAUCCCUUUCUUUCUCUUUUGGCUUUCCAGUUGCCAAAGGGCCUCCUCUGCCAAGCCCUCCCACCAUGAUGCACUGGGCUCCCACAGGCCCAGAGCAACAGGGCCAAGCGACCGUGGACUGAAACCUCCGCAACCACGAACCAAGAUAAACCUUUUCUCUGAUUGAGUUGAUUAUCUCAGGUAUUUUGUGAUAUGACGGAAAGCUGACUCAUGGGACCCAUGAUGUUGUCUUGGGGAUUAAACGAAGAAGUGCUGAGAGCAGCAGGGGGACCCAGUGGCACUGCCUAUGUCCUAGCAGGUGCCUGUUGAACGUGUGCUGCUCAAGGAAGCCCAGCACUCCCCAGGUGUCACCCAGGGAGCCGGGCACCUAUGAAAGAGGGUCCUAGCUCAGAGCCAGUGUCUGCCUGAGGCGUGCCAGCUCCUUCAGGCUGUGAAGCUGGACACUGUGGGGACAGAACGAAGGCCUUGAACCAGGCAGAGAGUGGGGAGAAUCACUGUCAAUCUGUUUUUCCAAAUUGCGCUAUUUCAAAUGCCCUGGGCAGAUGCCCACGUGUGCGGGGUCACUCAGCUGGGCCAGAGGCCCUUUGUCUCCUUGAAAGGCCCCAUUGUGACCCCACACCAUCCCCAACUGCUUCUUGGAACAAGAGGCCCUUGUGUGGGCCCUGCAGGCCAGCUCCUCUGGCCCUCGGCUGGCAGCGGGGAUUCUGUCCCUGUGGGGUUGGUGCAGGGCGCCGUCCACCUCCACCUCCAAUAAGAGCCAGUGUUUCGUCAGGUUCUAGAACGUGGAGGAAGCCCUACUUCCCCAGAAGUGGGUCUUCUACAGAGGGGCAGAUGCCCUGGGGACGAACUAGGAGAGGACAGGUGGGGAGGUUGGCUUCCAGAGAAGGUGGGCAGCAUGGGACCCUCCGGGCCACCCUGCCCUGAGGGGAAGGUCACCAGGAGGAUGCCCCCAGGAGGUGCCCCUGAGCCUCCAGGAGCAAGGUGAACAUUCAGUGCCCUGUUGGAGUUGACCCACAGCGGCCUACCCGGGGGCCUCCUGGGCUGCACUCUCCCCGUGGGAGCCCCAGGGAGUGGCGUGAGGGCCCCAGAAGGCAGCAGGGACGGCCUGGGUGGCUCUCUGGGCUGAGUCCAGCCAGAGCACUGUCCACGGGAUCCAGAGGCCCAGCUCCACCCCUGAGGUCCCUGCCAGCUGGCCACUCCACUGGGCAUCUGCUAUCCCGUCCCUUCCCACUGAGCCCCGGCUCCAUCUGGUCCGCAAGCUUCGGCUCUUGGUCACAUCAGGGACAAGAGUCCCUCCAUCCUUUCUCAGGCCCGGGGAAAGGUGAGCUCUGCUCUGGGGGCCUAGGAAGCCUCAGGUCCCUCCCCUUGGCAAGGUACGUGCUGGGCCAGGCAGGCCUCUGGCUCUCCGAGGAGAGCCCAGGGGCUGCCUGACGGGGCACUGUCAUGGCCCCGCUCUCGAAAAGAAGACGGAGUCCAAGGCCCACGCACCCCCGCCUGUGAGGCCCUGGUCGAGGUCGGGGCUGUCCCUCUGCCCACACAGGCAGGUGCCCGUGCCACGUGCAUGUCCACCAGAGGUGCUCACGGUGGCUUCUCCCUUUUUCUCUCCCCUUCAGCCCUGGGGAUUGAACCCAGGGCUCUCCCUGAACUCCAUCGCCAGCCCUUUUUAUUCUUCAAGUUGAGACAGGCUCUCACUAAGUGGCAGCGGCUUCCAACAUGUGAUCCUCUGUCUCUGUGUCCCAAGUCCCUGGUGUGUGCCACCGCACUGACUUUAUUGUCGUCACUUCUUGAGAGGCCAGUAGGUCAGAUCUGCAUAAGGACAGAUCUGGGAGUAAUCAGGGCCCCAAGGCCAGAAGGGGCUGCCCAAGGCCCCCAUGCAAAGAGGCCUGGGCACCAGAUCCACCCCUUCCUGGAGGGGCCAAGGGAGCCAGCGUCAGGGGCUCAGCCAUAGCUCAGUCUCUGGGGUCUGGGUGCCUUUGCUCUUGCCCAGUGGGUUCCUUGAAUGUCCUCCCUCGUCACCCCUGGCUCCCCAGGCAUCAUGGGUUCUCAGAGGAGUGGUGCCCUGAGCAGGCAGGACUGCCACUCAGCGGACACUUGCACCUGCAGACACCAAACAGCUGGGUACAGACAGCUGCGAGCUGGUGCAGGAGCUGAGGGGCACCGGGUGGGUUGGUUAGAGGGGCAGGAGAAGGGCAGCAAGACCUGGGGAGGGCAUUCGGGGGCCUGAGGAAACCACACCUGCCCCAUUCACACCCAAUUCCAGUAGGAUGCAAUUCAGGGGCUGAGGUCACGGCUCAGUGGUGGAGCACUUGCCUGGCCCGUGUGAGGCACUGGCUUUGAUCCUCAGCACCACAGUAAGAUAACACACAAAAAGAAAGAUCCAUCUAUACUGAAAAGUAUUUAAAAAAAAAAUCGGAUGCAACUCAAAUGGGAAAUGAGUUGCAGAUUUCUAAAUGGUCUCGGGUCAGAAGGGACAGGAAGCUGUAUCAGACUCGUCAGCAAAGCCGUGGACUAGUAAGGGCUUUAUCACUAGCAAAAAUGAGAAAGGUCCUAUGAAAGUUUAUUUAAAUGAUUAAAAAAAUUUAACUUUGGGAAAUUCAAUUCAACCUUCUUGCCUCCCUCCCUUCCAUAAUGCAAAGGAGCCUCGCUUGCACCAAGUUCUGGGGUAAGCGCCCUGCAGAGGGCAGUUUUGAGACUUCCCUCCAUCGACACUGAAUGACAAAUUUUGUAAACACAUGACAAACCCCUAUUAUUUCGUAAUUUGUAGUUUAGUUUUGCUUUUUAGCUACAGCCCCUGCCAAGCCUGUUGCUCAUGGUUUACUAUGAAAUUUCAGUUAUGUUCACUGGACUUGUCGCAAGUGGCUAGAUUUUGAUACCAGUGACCCAGAUUUUUGAUACCAGUGACCCUGGAAUGUCACUCAUUCUUGAGCCACGGGAUCAAGGGGACUCAGAACAGGGGCUGGGCUUCCAGAUUCCCAACUUAGGGACCUUUGUCUACUUACAGCCUGGACAGCUAACACCAGAAACCCAGUGUCCACCGGUUGUCUCUGCUUCCUUCCACUCUGCAGCCGGGUCCCCUUUCUCCCCAGCGACAUUCUAAAACCAGUUGAUUAUCCAUGUCACCAGGGAACACAGAACAGACCACACAGCUCAAAACAGUUCGGAUCAGCUUUACAAAAAGUGAGAGGAAACAUCUGUACCUAGUUUUCUUUGGGUUUAAGGAAUUUUUUUCUUUCUUUCUGGUUUUUUUUUUUUUUUUUUUUUGGUACCAGGGAUUGAACCCUGGGGCACUAACCCACUGGGCCACACCCCAGCCCUUUCUUGUAUUUCAUUUAGAGCCAGGGUCUCACUGAGUUGCUUAGCGCCUCACUGAGCUGCUGAAGCUGUAUUUGCGAUCCUCCUGCCUCAGCCUCUGAAGCCACUGGGACUACCAGUGGGUGCCACCACGCUGGGCGGUUUAAGGGAAUUCUAACUGAGCACAGACUAGACUACUGGGGGGAAUGGCUGGGGCCCAGGCUGGCACUUGGCGAGUUUCCCGGGAGGGGAUGCCAUCCGGGCAGUAGAUUCUGGGAGGGUGAGGGCAGUGGCUGAGCGUGCAUGAUGUCAUCUGACUGUCACUGAGGCUGCCUCCUAAUUAAGUCAAAGGUCCUCAGAAGGCUGCCAGGAGCGGGCUCCCAGCACGGGGCAAUUCAAAACCAAACCCCCAGCACAGCCACAGAGGGACUAUACACAUGGGCACUUUAUAAAGUCUUUCAGAGGGUUCUCAUCUUCUGCUGUGGCAUUUGGAAAUGUCUUUCAGGUGAGUUUCAGUUCCUACGACGCUUAGAAGCACCCCAUGAAAUGGGUCUCCACGGAGCCCGUGGGAGCUCCCAUCUGCUGUUCUCAAGACCCAGCCCAGGGGCCAGCAAGGGAUGCUGUGGUCUUCUGAGGUCACGCUCCCCGUGUCCCACCCCACAGGCCCCCCCAAGACAGGAAGAGGCCCUGGACAGCUCAGCACUGCAGGUUAGCAGCCAGUCCCUGCCCUGGUGGAAAGGUCAAUGGGAAGGUCAACAUGAUACCCGUGGGAAAGUGUAGCUUUUUUUUUUUCUCUUCUUUUUGCCCCGUUGAGAGCAUCUCUGCCUUCUAGAAAGUUACGCUGAAGGAUGGGCUGAUCCGCCAACACCUCUGGGUUUUCAGCUCAAGUCUGGCUGCUUUAUGACGACUUCCACCUAAUUAAAGAGAACACGGCGUGGACCACGUAGAGCAGCGUGGCGACAUAGGAGAACACCUGGAACCCAGAGAGAGCCCCAUUAGUGUUGGGGGUGGGGGGCAGGCAGGGAGGCCCACGGGUCCACG
RNAcentral lists this long non-coding RNA (7084 nucleotides) under Marmota monax (woodchuck). Lineage: Eukaryota; Metazoa; Chordata; Mammalia; Rodentia; Sciuridae. The record is from RNAcentral.